RNAcentral lists this ribosomal RNA (312 nucleotides) under Triticum aestivum (bread wheat). Its description in RNAcentral is "partial small subunit ribosomal RNA". The record is from RNAcentral. Lineage: Eukaryota; Viridiplantae; Streptophyta; Magnoliopsida; Poales; Poaceae.
UUUUCCCUCAGAAUCUGGACGGCUGUCAAAGCUUGGCUCGAUGUGCCUGAACUAAACAUUGCAGACUGGGGAGGCAUUCACAUGGUCCAAGCCUGGUGGGCGGCAACGGUUCUUACACGUGGACAUAGGAGGAAGGCCAUUUCAUCACUUCUCAUGCUCAUCACAUGGGAGAUACGGAACGAGCAAAACUCUCGAGUUUUUUGUAGUAAGUCAGCUAUGCCUACUGCUCUAGUAGACAACAUCAAGCGGGAGGCAAGGAAUUGGGGCCUUGUAGGGGUGAAACAUUUGUGCGCUUUGAUGCCGCGAGAGUAG